Molecule: ribosomal RNA, 404 nt
Filed under: Actinomycetes bacterium
Lineage: Bacteria; Bacillati; Actinomycetota; Actinomycetes
Description: Actinobacteria bacterium partial 16S ribosomal RNA
Rfam family: Bacterial small subunit ribosomal RNA
Source: RNAcentral
UGGGGAAUAUUGGACAAUGGGCGCAAGCCUGAUCCAGCCAUGCCGCGUGAGUGAUGAAGGCCCUAGGGUUGGAAAGCUCUUUCACCGGGGGAGAUAAUGACGGUAACCGGAGAAGAAGCCCCGGCUAACUUCGUGCCAGCAGCCGCGGUAAUACGAAGGGGGCUAGCGUUGUUCGGAUUUACUGGGCGUAAAGCGCACGUAGGCGGACUUUUAAGUCAGGGGUGAAAUCCCGGGGCUCAACCCCGGAACUGCCUUUGAUACUGGAAGUCUUGAGUAUGGUAGAGGUGAGUGGAAUUCCGAGUGUAGAGGUGAAAUUCGUAGAUAUUCGGAGGAACACCAGUGGCGAAGGCGGCUCACUGGACCAUUACUGACGCUGAGGUGCGAAAGCGUGGGGAGCAAACAGG